GAUGAACGCUGGCGGCGUGCCUAAUACAUGCAAGUCGAGCGAACAGACGAGGAGCUUGCUCCUUUGACGUUAGCGGCGGACGGGUGAGUAACACGUGGGUAACCUACCUAUAAGACUGGGAUAACUUCGGGAAACCGGAGCUAACACCGGAUAAUAUUUCGAACCGCAUGGUUCGAUAGUGAAAGAUGGCUUUGCUAUCACUUAUAGAUGGACCUGCGCCGUAUUAGCUAGUUGGUAAGGUAACGGCUUACCAAGGCAACGAUACGUAGCCGACCUGAGAGGGUGAUCGGCCACACUGGAACUGAGACACGGUCCAGACUCCUACGGGAGGCAGCAGUAGGGAAUCUUCCGCAAUGGGCGAAAGCCUGACGGAGCAACGCCGCGUGAGUGAUGAAGGUCUUCGGAUCGUAAAACUCUGUUAUUAGGGAAGAACAAACGUGUAAGUAACUGUGCACGUCUUGACGGUACCUAAUCAGAAAGCCACGGCUAACUACGUG
Molecule: ribosomal RNA, 497 nt
Filed under: uncultured bacterium
Lineage: Bacteria
Description: partial 16S ribosomal RNA
Rfam family: Bacterial small subunit ribosomal RNA
Source: RNAcentral